GACGAACGCUGGCGGCGUGCUUAACACAUGCAAGUCGAACGGUGAAGGGACCGGUUUUUGCUGGUUCUGGAUGAGUGGCGAACGGGUGAGUAACACGUGAGUAACCUGCCCCCUUCUUCUGGAUAACCGCAUGAAAGUGUGGCUAAUACGGGAUAUUCUGCGCCUGCUGCAUGGUGGGUGUGGGAAAGAUAUUGUUUCGGUGGGGGAUGGGCUCGCGGCCUAUCAGCUUGUUGGUGGGGUGAUGGCCUACCGAGGCGGUGACGGGUAGCCGGCCUGAGAGGGUGGACGGUCACACUGGGACUGAGACACGGCCCAGACUCCUACGGGAGGCAGCAGUGGGGAAUAUUGCACAAUGGGCGCAAGCCUGAUGCAGCGACGCCGCGUGAGGGAUGGAGGCCUUCGGGUUGUAAACCUCUUUCGCCAGUGAAGCAGGCCUGUCCCUUUUGUGGGUGGGUUGACGGUAGCUGGAUAAGAAGCGCGGGCUAACUACGUG
Molecule: ribosomal RNA, 493 nt
Filed under: uncultured bacterium
Lineage: Bacteria
Description: partial 16S ribosomal RNA
Rfam family: Bacterial small subunit ribosomal RNA
Source: RNAcentral